Molecule: small RNA, 68 nt
Filed under: Flavobacterium endophyticum
Lineage: Bacteria; Pseudomonadati; Bacteroidota; Flavobacteriia; Flavobacteriales; Flavobacteriaceae
Description: Flavo-1 RNA
Rfam family: Flavo-1 RNA
Source: RNAcentral
GGGAUAGCAGCGGCAUCCUUUUGCGGCAUGAAAUGGAGCAAAAGAUAGAGCGAAUAGCCCGACCCGAA